RNAcentral lists this ribosomal RNA (369 nucleotides) under uncultured organism. RNAcentral describes it as "bacterial SSU rRNA". It matches the Rfam family "Bacterial small subunit ribosomal RNA", at positions 526 to 896 of the family's 1533-position model. The record is from RNAcentral.
CGGAGGGUGCAAGCGUUAUCCGGAUUCACUGGGUUUAAAGGGUGCGUAGGCGGUCAGAUAAGUCAGUGGUGAAAGCCCGCGGCUCGACCGUGGAAUUGCCAUUGAAACUGCCUGACUUGAAUACAGUUGAAGUGGAUGGAAUACAUCAUGUAGCGGUGAAAUGCUUAGAUAUGAUGUAGAACACCAAUUGCGAAGGCAGUUCACUAAGCUGUCAUUGACGCUGAGGCACGAAAGCGUGGGGAGCGAACAGGAUUAGAUACCCUGGUAGUCCACGCCCUAAACGAUGAAUACUCGAUGUGUGCUCCUUGAGGGUACGCGUCCAAGCGAAAGCGUUAAGUAUUCCACCUGGGAAGUACGGCCGCAAGGUUA